RNAcentral lists this ribosomal RNA (508 nucleotides) under uncultured bacterium. RNAcentral's name for it is "bacterial SSU rRNA". It matches the Rfam family "Bacterial small subunit ribosomal RNA", at positions 8 to 518 of the family's 1533-position model. The record is from RNAcentral.
AGAGUUGAUCAUGGCUCAGGAUGAACGCUGGCGGCGUGCUUAACACAUGCAAGUCGAACGGAGUUUUAAACGGAAGUCCUCGGAUGGAAGUUUAGAAACUUAGUGGCGGACGGGUGAGUAACGCGUGGGUAACCUGCCUCAUACAGGGGGAUAACAGUCGGAAACGAUUGCUAAAACCGCAUAACAUAGCGAAACCGCAUGAUUUUGCUAUCAAAUAUUUAUAGGUAUGAGAUGGGCCCGCGUCUGAUUAGCUAGUUGGUGGGGUAAUGGCCUACCAAGGCGACGAUCAGUAGCCGGCUUGAGAGAGUGACCGGCCACAUUGGGACUGAGACACGGCCCAAACUCCUACGGGAGGCAGCAGUGGGGAAUAUUGGACAAUGGGGGAAACCCUGAUCCAGCCGACGCCGCGUGAGUGAAGAAGUAUUUCGGUAUGUAAAGCUCUAUCAGCAGGGAAGAUAAUGACAGUACCUGACUAAGAAGCCCCGGCUAACUACGUGCCAGCCGCCGC